Molecule: ribosomal RNA, 490 nt
Filed under: uncultured bacterium
Lineage: Bacteria
Description: partial 16S ribosomal RNA
Rfam family: Bacterial small subunit ribosomal RNA
Source: RNAcentral
UGAACGCUGGCGGUAGGCCUAACACAUGCAAAUCGACCGGCAGCACAGUAAGAGCUUGCUCUUACGGGUGGCGAGUGGCGGACGGGUGAGGAAUACAUCGGAAUCUACUUUUUCGUGGGGGAUAACGUAGGGAAACUUACGCUAAUACCGCAUACGACCUACGGGUGAAAGCAGGGGAUCUUCGGACCUUGCGCGAUUGAAUGAGCCGAUGUCGGAUUAGCUAGUUGGCGGGGUAAAGGCCCACCAAGGCGACGAUCCGUAGCUGGUCUGAGAGGAUGAUCAGCCACACUGGAACUGAGACACGGUCCAGACUCCUACGGGAGGCAGCAGUGGGGAAUAUUGGACAAUGGGCGCAAGCCUGAUCCAGCCAUACCGCGUGGGUGAAGAAGGCCUUCGGGUUGUAAAGCCCUUUUGUUGGGAAAGAAAAGCAGCAGGUUAAUACCCCGCUGUUCUGACGGUACCCAAAGAAUAAGCACCGGCUAACUUCGUG